AGAGUUUGAUCAUGGCUCAGGAUGAAUGCUGGCGGCGUGUCUAAGGCAUGCAAGUCGAAUGCUCUGCUUCGGUAGAGCAUGGCAAACGGGAGAGUAACACUUUGGUAAUCUACCCUGAAGACGAGAAUAACCCCGAGAAAUCGGGAAUAAUACUCGAUAGUAGUGGGGGGACAUAAGUCAUUCCCACUUAAAGUUCCGGCGCUUCAGGAGGAGCCUAAGGCCUAUCAGUUUGUUGGUGGGGUAAAAGCCUACCAAGACUACGACGGGUAGCGGGUGUGAGAGCAUGGCCCGCCUCACUGGGACUGAGACACUGCCCAGACUCCUACGGGAGGCUGCAGUCAAGAAUCUUCCUCAAUGGCCGAAAGGCUGAAGGAGCGACGCCGCGUGUAUGAAGAAGCCCUUCGGGGUGUAAAAUACUUUUAUUAGGGACGAAACAAUGACGGUACCUAAUGAAUAAGGGGCUGCUAACCUCGUGCCAGCAGCAGCGGUAAUACGAGGGCCCCAAGCAUUAUCCGGAUUCAUUGGGCGUAAAGGGUACGUAGGCGGUUUAUUACAUCUUCCGUUAAAUCUCAGGGCUUAACCCUGAAACUGCGGAAGAGAUGGAUAGACUAGAGGCUGGGAGAGGUACGUGGAAUUGCUGGUGUAGGGGUUAAAUCCGUUAAUAUCAGCAGGAACACCAAAUGCGAAGGCAGCGUACUAGAACAGUCCUGACGCUAAUGUACGAAAGCGUGGGUAGCGAAUAGGAUUAGAUA
This 752-nucleotide ribosomal RNA is filed under the name uncultured bacterium. RNAcentral's name for it is "bacterial SSU rRNA". It matches the Rfam family "Bacterial small subunit ribosomal RNA", at positions 8 to 784 of the family's 1533-position model. The record is from RNAcentral.